This 357-nucleotide long non-coding RNA is filed under the name Carica papaya (papaya). Its description in RNAcentral is "long non-coding RNA (CPAP_LNC007391)". The record is from RNAcentral. Lineage: Eukaryota; Viridiplantae; Streptophyta; Magnoliopsida; Brassicales; Caricaceae.
CUUGCAGUGAGACUUGCAAAUCGGCGAAUCACAGUCGACGUGACAAACUUUAGCUUUAGGGUUUUCGGAAUAAGUUGAAGGACAUUGGUAAGGGCAUUCUAUACGCUUUCCAUAACAUCGGCUUCCUGGGUUAUUGCAGUACACAGAUGCAGCUUCUGUUUCUUGGAUAAAUAUCAGACCUGCAACAAACACCAUUGCCAUGGCAAAUAAAAGAGACCUUCUUGACCAUGUCUCCAUGUUGCUCGAAUUAAAUAUCAACAAUGGCUAAGGCUAUGAUUGUGACUAGUACAGUGUUGAAUAUUGAUGAUGAAACAGGGUGUAUCGGUGGUCUAUUUAUAGUCUUCAAGAUGUCAGUGU